AGAGUUUGAUCCUGGCUCAGAUUGAACGCUGGCGGCAUGGCUAAAACAUGCAAGUCGAACGAUCCCUUCGGGGAGAGUGGCGAAAGGGCGAGGAAUACGAUCGAACGUACCCCGAGGUGGGGGAUAGCGUGGGGAAACUCACGGUAAUACCCCAUGUCCUCUACGGAGAAAAGGUUUACCGCCUUGGGAGCGGCGAUCGUCCUAUCAGGUAGUUGGCGGGGUAAUGGCCCACCAAGCCGAAGACGGGUAGCGGGUGUGAGAGCACGACCCGCCGCAUCGGGACUGAGACACUGCCCGGACUCCUACGGGAGGCUGCAGUAACGAAUCUUCCGCAAUGGGCGAAAGCCUGACGGAGCAAUGCCGCGUGUGGGAUGAAGCAUCUUCGAUGUGUAAACCACUGUCAGGGUUUAGGAACAAUGACCAGACCCAAAGGAAGGGCCGGCUAACUCUGUGCCAGCAGCCGCGGUAAUACAGAGGGCCCGAGCGUUAAUCGGAAUCACUGGGCUUAAAGCGUACGCAGGCGGCCCUGAAGGCAUCGUGUGAAAUCCCGCGGCUUAACCGCGGAACUGCACGGUGAACCACAGGGCUUGAGGCAGGUAGGGGUCAGUGGAACCAUGAGUGGAGCGGUGAAAUGCGUAGAUAUUCAUGGGAACGCCAAUGGCGAAGGCAGCUGACUGGGCCUGUUCUGACGCUCAUGUACGAAAGCGUGGGGAGCAAACAGGAUUAGAUACCCUGGUAGUCCACGCCGUAAACGAUGCACACUAGAUCGAGGGAGCUCUCACGCUUUCUCGGUCGAAGGUAAACUGAUUAGUGUGCCGCCUGGGGAGUACGGUCGCAAGGCUAAAACUCAAAGGAAUUGACGG
This 863-nucleotide ribosomal RNA is filed under the name uncultured bacterium. Its description in RNAcentral is "bacterial SSU rRNA". It matches the Rfam family "Bacterial small subunit ribosomal RNA", at positions 8 to 916 of the family's 1533-position model. The record is from RNAcentral.